Non-coding RNA from Cajanus cajan (pigeon pea), 5421 nucleotides. NCBI's taxonomy places the organism in Eukaryota, Viridiplantae, Streptophyta, Magnoliopsida, Fabales, Fabaceae. The record is from RefSeq and is a predicted model, not a curated record.
UACAUAGGUUCACUCAGGAAUCGAUGUAGUAUUGAGGCCCAUAUUCACCCUCGCGUUCGCGCCCCUUCUCCAUGAGAAGAACAUUAAGCAUCUUCUUGAACACCAAAACUACGCACGCCCCAGAAUCUCCAUUGUCAUAUAAGCUUAAGCACCAUCAAGUUUCGUUUUUUGGUGACCAACGCGAGCCAUUUCCCCCCGAAGAAGUGUCUCUGGAAGCAUCAUCUUCUUCUGCAAAAGCUUCAGCACCAUUGUUGAAAUCGUGCGCGCAAGGAACCCUAAAUCGUUUAAGGUUUGGACUGAAUCGUAGUGAUACAUCUUCCUCGCUACAAAAUGCGGUUACUGUGCAGAACAACACAAACAAGCUGAAGAAGUCACACAAGUAAAGCUGCAGUUGGUUGGUGAGUUUCCUUCUGAGUUUCUGCCUAUCCUUAGCUUUGUGGUUCUGAAACCAGUAGAACAAAUUCUUUCCCUGUAUCUUGCCAUAGAAGGAAAGGCCAUAAUUUGAACUACCAAGAAACCAACUGAAGCAUGCCGCUGGAAGUAGGAAGAUUAAAAAAGGAUAAUUGAAAGGUCUCUCCUUACUUUCCAACUUUUUCCUGAAAAGAGAUAAGAAAAAAUCAAGUGGUGCAACCAACCUGUUUGGAAAUCAGAAUCAGCUUGGAACUCCUUUACAACAAAUUCAUUCCACUAUUGAAAAGGAAGUGUGCAGAGGGUGAUACUUCUCUUCUUGACAUCCAUUAGUCAACACAUCUAGUUUGUGAUAUCUUCUUAGUAAGAUACAUGGAUACUCAAUUUGAUCCACAAGACGCCCGUGCUCCUCAAGGCUCCCCUGCUCCUCAAGGCUCCACUGCUCCUUAAGUCUCCCUUGCUUCUCAAGGCUCCACUGCUCCAACACUCCCUGCUUCACAGACUAUAUCUAAGAAAAAGAGGAAGCCGAUGCGAAUGAAAAACUUAGCCCGUAAGCGCAUGAAUGAGGUGAAAAUAUCACUUGAUGUGAAUCCCACUACUGGGAUAGUUUCAAGGCCAAACAAAGUCCAAUUUGCAAGUUAUCUAGGAACCCUUGCUCGAGACAAGAUUAGUAUUUUAGUUCCUUCUUGGAAAGAAGUUCUACAGACUACUAAAAACAUGAUUUGGCAGGAUAUAUUGGAAUUCUAUGACAUUAGUGAUACUACAGUAUUAAAGAGUAAAAUGCUUUCAACUGUUGCUACAAAAUUUAGGCAACACAAGUAUUAUCUUACCAGGGAAUGGGUACAUGGGAAACACAAGGGUAAAGGCCCGUGUGAUGAGUAUAAUAUUGACCUGAAGAAUGGGAGAAAUUCAAAGAAAUUCGGAAUGACCCUUCUUGGAAGCUUGUAAGAAAAAAAGCGCAGGAUAUCCAGAAACUCAAUAAUGCACCCCACCUAUUAUCUCGUGGGGGUUAUGAGCUACUUAUGAGAAAUUAUAUGAAAAGAGAACUUAAACGACUUAAGGAGGUAGCAAUACAAUCUGGUGCUAGUGAGGAUGUAGUGAUUGAUCCUCCACCUCCUCCUCCACGCCAUAGGUUGUGGAACAUGGCUCACACAAAAAGCUCUGAAGAGAUGACUUCUGAGUCUGCUAAUCAAAUUGCACAAAAAAUUAAUGUGUUGGAGGAGCAAGAAUCACAAGGUUCAUUUAUUCCUAAAGGCCGUUAGGAUACAUUAAAUACUGCCCUUGGAUGACUAGAGCAUCCUGGUCGUGUUCGUAUAGCUGGGGUUGGUGUUACUAUUGGUAAUUACUUUGGACCAUUAUCACAGGGGUCAUCCUUAUCUAGAUUGAGCCCACAGGAUCUUGAAGCCCUCACACAACAAAUAUAUGUACGGGUCACACAAACUUUAAUGGAAAAGUACCCUAAUAUGAGUACUGCACAGUCACAAGAUGUUCCUCCAGUUGAGGUAGAUCAUGCUAUCGUGGCUCGUGUUAGCACUAAAGGCAGUUGCCUAACUCCUUCAAGUGCUACUGUUGCUGGUAAUCCCUUUAGAGAUGAGGUUCAUGCUGAUAUCUCCAAUAAGUGUGAGUUAUGCAUUGAGGGGAUUCCUUCGCUUGUAGUGGCCAAUGGUAGAGUUUGUGAGGCGAGUUCAACUAUACACAACGUGCCUUUGACAAAUGAUUUGGUCAAGGUGUUCAUUGAGGAAGUUCGAGAUUCUAAUGCUCGAGUUCCCAUACCUACUUCAGAGGUUCAGCUGGUUGGGCAGGCCUUAAAAACUUUCAUUGCGUGGCUGAGACAUCUUGUCAGACCUAUUUCAACCACGGAUAUUUAUCGAGUAAAUAAACGAGCUCCAUCUAUUGAUAGCUCGGAACCCAAUGGUGAUCCUAUUACUGGGUUACGUGAGGCAUCAAAGUCCUUACUUUAUGGACAACCAUUUUAGGUGAUAUGUCCUGCAAGUCUAUUUGGGACCAGCGAUGAUGAUUUUACGCUGUAUAUUUCAUUUCAAAAUAUAUAUGAAUUAUUACAACGUGAAGCAAUGCUUAACAUCUCAAUUAUACAAUUAUGGAUAUUAUAUUUGAAUCGUAAAAUUGAAGAACUCAAUCAUGGUGACUUGUAUGGAUUUCUUGAGCCCCAAUCAAUUCAAAAAUCUGGGAAUAAAAAAGCGGAGUCUCAAAAUUAUAUCAUUGAAAGGUUACAAAAUUCACCCAAGCAAAUUUACUUUGCUCCUUACGUUGAUCAAAAUCAUUGGAAGUUAUUGGUUCUCUGUCCGACAAAGAAUGUUGCUGUUUGGUUUUGUUCUUUCCAUCAUAAGCCAAAUGUUCAAAUCAAAAAUUUAAUUAAAAGUGUUAUGGUUGUCUAUAAUGUCAUAGGGGGUAGAUCUACAGCACAACUAAAGAACCUAGAUUGCAUUUAUCCCAUGAGUAAUCAACAACAAGGAGGUUAUGAAUGUGGAUAUUAUGUGAUGAAUUGGAUGUUAGACAUAAUUGAAGGGGAAGUAACAAAUGACUGGAUUGAGCUUUUUGAUGAUGUUGCACCAUUGCCAGAAACCAAAUUGGAAGACAUUCAUAGUCAAUGGACAACCUUCUUUUUAGAAAAAUUUAGAAAUAGAGCAUGAUUUUUAGUUUAAUUAGGAUUAUUUAUAAUAUAACUCCAAAACAAUUUUCUGCCUUUAUUUUCUCCUAAACCCUCAAUAUUAUUCUUCUGCGGAUACUGAUGUCAGUGUACUAUUAACACCUGCGAGUGGAUUUACCAUGAAAAGUAAAUACUGAAACAAUGGUUGAAGAAAGAAUUAACUCAAUAUCAUGAAAGUUGAGAUUACUUGUAUCCUUUUAAAUUGUUAUACUUCCUGUGAAGAAAGUGUUAAGGAUGUGCUCUGCGAGUGGCAGUUAUUGUUUAGUUUCAGUGGAGUGUAGUUAUUGUUUGGUGUUAUUAGGUAGUUAUUCUAUACAUGUGACAAUUAUUAUUUAGUAUAUACUGUAGAGGAAGUCAGAGAGGAGACACAUUGUUAAGGGGAAACAUUCUAUUUGUCAUUAUGUGUUUGAACUUGGCCUAUGAACCAAUUAAAUUUCUAAUAUAAUCCAGUAUCUUGUUUUGUUUAAUUAAAUUUGUGAGCCUAUUAGGUUCAGAGGAGUUUCUGUCUAAAAACCAAACUUGAUCACCCCUACUAGAAACAAUCAGGCUAGCACUAAAUAGCAAUGUUGGACCAAUCAGUUAACGCAUACUUAUAAGUGAAGAAAAGGAAAUAAAUUAACGAGAUGAAAUAAAUUAAUUGAACUUCUUCCAUGUGUCUCAACUUUUUUAGAAGUUUUUUUUGUGAUUUUAACUCGUGGGAGAUGUUGGUUUAUUUUAUUUUCUUAAGUCAUUUUAUUUUUGUUCUCGUUUUGGUGUUUGAUGAAUAGUUUAUUCCAAAUGCUUAGUCAUCGAACUGUUAGGCAAAUUUUCUUACAUCGCUUUUUAUCUCGUGUCAUUACUUGCUCCUUACUUGGUGUACCAAUGGCAACUUCUUGUUUCUAGAUUUGUUUCUAAUUUCUGUUUUCUAGUUGUGCCUAGAUGCUGGCUGGCGUAGAGAUUUUUUUUCUCCUUCUUCCGGUUUUUGAUUCAUGGAAUUUGGUUAUGAUGGUUAGUGUAGGAGAUUUCUGUUUCUGGAGGAAGGUUCCAAAACUGUUUAAGGGAGAUCCAUGCUCAUGCUUGUGAUGUUGAGGAUACGAAAAAGGGUAUCAAGAUCAUAAAGGAGGAUUAGGGAAAAUUGCAUGUACACAUUGCUUCAUACAACAACUUCCUUACUGUAGCAGGAUUGGCUUUUUUAGCUGCAGGUUUUGCCUGCCUUGGCAAAGGUGACCCUUCAAAACUACUAUCUAUAUCUCUAUAUAGACAAACCAGGGUGGAAGCUAGGAUUGACAUGGGAUAACAAUGAAGUGAUAUGGUCAAUGAGUCGUGCCAUAGCAACUCACAGAGGGAAUUGCUCAUCUUACAGCGGCUCUUAGAUGCCAAAUUCCUGCAGCAAGGAUCCCAUCAUAGUUAUGUAAUAUUUUCUCAUACAACAAAUGAUUCUUUUUUUGUUGUACCACUGAAAGAAAGUUACCUCAAAUAGAAUUAAAGAAGCACGAGACACACACACUCAGUCAAUUAGAUUUACAAAUUAUACUAUGAAUGACUUUUAAAGUAGUUAUUACAAAACUCAACAAUUUUAUCGUGGGUUUUGGUUUGGUGUUAUAAAUAAAAUGUUUAUACAGGUACCCUAGAAAGAAUCUAAAAAAAUAAUUGAACUUUUUUUUUUAAAUGAAAUCUACAUCGGUUUCAAAUAGAACCGAUAUAGAUUUGAGUACACAUCUACAUCGGUUGUUGGUAUAACCGAUGUAGAAAUGUGGUCAAAUCUACAUCGAUUUUACUUAGAAUCGAUGUAGAUUUGAACGCAAAUUUACAUCGGUUUUUCUGACAAUCGAUGUAGAUUAUGUAUAAAUCUACAUCGGUUUUAAAACUAAUGUAGAAGUCUUUGUAUUACUAAGUCUCUCUAUUCUACAUCGGUUUUAUAACCGAUGUAGAUUACCUUCCAGAACCGAUGUAGAUAAUACAUCCUGUAGUAGUGGCGCAUCCAUUUCCCUCUCUGAAGAUAUGAGAGAAACGUAAUCUCAUCUACCUAACAUGGAAUAACAUGUUCAUUCACUGUACAUACAAACUACAAGGAACUAAUGAAGGGUAAAAGAAGGCUCUGAUGGCUAGAAGUGAAUCUAUCUCUAUCCAAAGCGACAUCCAGACAUGACUCCGAGUAAUCUGCACUACAUGAAUAAUGGCCAACACUUCUGCUUCCAGUGCUGAUUUGGCUACUACUGACUCGGCUAGGCAUACCACCAGGUUGGCUCUGCUGUCUCUAAAGAUGAUCCUGCAUGCUGUUGAAGAAGAGAAGGUUCAAAAGCUCGUUGGUUCAAAUCCAUCGGACCUUGCAAGGUCUAAUUUGGCCAAACUGGACAAGUGAGCAG